CGGGACGGGUGAGUGACGCGUGGGUAACCUGCCUCAUACAGGGGGAUAACAGUUAGAAAUGGCUGCUAAUACCGCAUAAGACCACAGUACUGCAUGGUACAGUGGUAAAAACUCCGGGGGUAUGAGAUGGACCCGCGUCUGAUUAGGUAGUUGGUGAGGUAACGGCCCACCAAGCCGACGAUCAGUAGCCGACCUGAGAGGGUGACCGGCCACAUUGGGACUGAGACACGGCCCAG
RNAcentral lists this ribosomal RNA (236 nucleotides) under uncultured bacterium. RNAcentral's name for it is "partial 16S ribosomal RNA". It matches the Rfam family "Bacterial small subunit ribosomal RNA", at positions 100 to 334 of the family's 1533-position model. The record is from RNAcentral.